UCCUUUAUCAUGGCUCAUUGGUAGAGCAUCUGCUUGGCAUGCAAAAGGUUCCGGGUUCGAAUCCUGCAUUUCCAGUGGAAAGGAU
Molecule: transfer RNA, 85 nt
Filed under: Sphaerodactylus townsendi
Lineage: Eukaryota; Metazoa; Chordata; Lepidosauria; Squamata; Sphaerodactylidae
Description: tRNA-Ala
Rfam family: tRNA (bases 11-67)
About the family: Transfer RNA (tRNA) molecules are approximately 80 nucleotides in length. Their secondary structure includes four short double-helical elements and three loops (D, anti-codon, and T loops).
Source: RNAcentral